ACAGGAUUCCCCUAGUAACGGCGAGUGAAGCGGGAAGAGCUCAAGCUUAAAAUCUCUGUCACAAAUUUAUUUUGUGCGGCGAAUUGUAGUCUAUGGAGGCGUGAUCAGUGUAGGUACUUGAGAUAAGUUUCUUGAAAAAGAACAGCAUGGAGGGUGAAACUCCCGUUCAUACUUAAGUGGCUUGCAUGUACGAUCCGUUUUCUUUGAGUCGCGUUGUUUGAGAAUGCAGCGCAAAGUAGGUGGUAAAUUCCAUCUAAAGCUAAAUAUUGGUGCGAGACCGAUAGCGAACAAGUACCGUGAGGGAAAGAUGAAAAGAACUCUGAAAAGAGAGUUAAAGAGUACCUGAAACUGCUGAAAGGGAACCGAAUCGUUUCUAGUGUCUAUAAUCUAUGACAUAUUCCAUUGGGAAGUGUGUGCGUGUGUAUACUAUGGCAGCGGCUUUUUUUUAGUUGCGCUUGGUGUGCGUGCUGUAUGUGCUUUCUGGUGCCCUGUGUUAUAGUGUGACGUCAAGGUCAGUUUGUAUGCUGCGGGAAAUGGCUACUAGGGAGGUAGGGCUCGCGCUUGCGCUUGUCUAUUAUAUCUUGGUAGUUGUGUCGUGGUUGAGACUGAGGUGUUCUACAACGUGCUUAUGAGUGGGUCUGUGUCUCCGUGUGCGCCGUGUGCAGAUAGCUUGCUAUGUGUGUGUGGUGGUGUGUGGAUUGAUGUGGGCUUUAACUUGUCGCCGUUCGGGACUUUGACGAAAUAGAGCGAUUUGACCCGUCUUGAAACACGGACCAAGGAGUCUAACAUAUGUGCAAGUGUUAGGGUGUGGAAACCCCAGCGCGAAAUGAAAGUAAAGGAUACUGAAAAGUAUCUGAGGUAGGAAAUGCUAUGGACUUCUGUUUAUGGUGUGGCACUAUCGACCGAUCAUGAACCCUCGUGGUGAAAGAUUUGAGUUUGAGCACAUAUGUUGGUACCCGAAAGAUGGUGAACUAUGCCUGAGUAGGGUGAAGCCAGGGAAACUC
This 1004-nucleotide ribosomal RNA is filed under the name Hyaloperonospora lunariae. Its description in RNAcentral is "LSU rRNA". It matches the Rfam family "Eukaryotic large subunit ribosomal RNA", at positions 69 to 864 of the family's 3401-position model. Lineage: Eukaryota; Oomycota; Peronosporomycetes; Peronosporales; Peronosporaceae. The record is from RNAcentral.